UUCGUCAAAAUGAGGUAAAGCAAAUCAAAUAAAUACAUUUAAAACGAUUUCCAAAAAUAUUUCUAAAUAGGCUGAAAUAUAAAACCAUGAUGAAGGUGAGGAGGCGUCAAGGCGAAUCGUCCUCGGCGUUACAUCUCCGGUGCCAUCUACGAGGAUCAGUGCAGAUAAUCAGGUGGCGACGCAAAAGGAAAUAAAGAAAUAUUUCCCAAUAUUUCUUCAACAGAAAAAGAAGGCGCAAAUGAGAAGCAACCCCUACCAACAACAUUAAAGGAACACAAGAAUAGAACAUUAGAUUUUUGGACAGACAACGACAUAAGCAAUUUAAUAUCAAACGUUAUCUAUGCAAAACAACAUGGCAUUUGUUAUUAUAUUAAAUAUGCUUGCCAAAAAAUGAGCAUGACAAGGAGCAUCAAAGACUAUAGAAACAAAGUGGAGUCUCUUAUGAAGCUGUGCAAUCAAAAUAAAAUGGCAUUCACUACUUUAUAUAAUAUAACAGCAAAAGGUGCUGAUAUAUUUAUAAGAACCUAGAUUAUUGCCUACUUUCUUUUGUACUUAGCAUUAAAGUACAAUUAGAUAUAGGUACGAUAUUCUUUGAUUUUCUUUGAAUUGAUAAUCUGGACGUAUUUAAUAGUCGUUGAAUGAAAUUUUCUAUGGACAGUGUGCUACUGUGCUUCUUAACUUGUGUGUCAACCCACCUUACGUGUAAUAAACUCGAUUGCUUCUUCUCUGUCCAUGGCCGUCCGACAGGAGUUUACAAUCAAACAUAAAAUAAGAGACUGUUUCGUGUAAAGAGGAAAGGGUUUUUAGUGGGUCGGGAACACGCCAAGAUUGGCCUUCUCAUCCCCACACUCCCCCAGGCGCCAGAACAC
Long non-coding RNA from Anthonomus grandis grandis, 869 nucleotides. RefSeq lists it as uncharacterized. The transcript has 4 exons. The record is from RefSeq and is a predicted model, not a curated record. Lineage: Eukaryota; Metazoa; Arthropoda; Insecta; Coleoptera; Curculionidae.